RNAcentral lists this unclassified non-coding RNA (488 nucleotides) under Hevea brasiliensis (rubber tree). Lineage: Eukaryota; Viridiplantae; Streptophyta; Magnoliopsida; Malpighiales; Euphorbiaceae. The record is from RNAcentral.
GGAGCAGGCCUUUAAAGCAAUGUUAUUAUUUCCUAACAUAUCUGUUGAUGCUUUUAAAAUGCAAAUGAUUUAAGGGAUAUGUCAAGGGAUGUCAAGCUUACCAUCUCACAGAAGGUCAAAGGGAUGGAGCAAGAGAUCUCAUUGUGGGAAGGAUUAAACACUUCUAACCUCUGUAGAAGCCCUGAGUCGUGUGCAAAGCUCUUGUAAGCUUAUUCUGGCGUAUUACAAGGCUCUGGAGAUAGAGUAGAUGGCCAAUCUGGAAGGGAACUGUCAGUGAGUGUGUUCAUACAUCAUACUCAAAUUCAAGUACUGUGGCUUUGAACAUCGUCCUAGUUGUUCGGGAAUAGAUUAUGGACUGUUUGCUGCUAAGUUUAGUUGAUCUAGAUUAGAUAGUUCCUGAGUUCUUCAGGAAUAUUGCUCGACUUAUUGUGAUCCUUGUAAAGAAUAUACAAUAGUGACAUCAUCCCCAGUUCCUUUGGGAUCUCUCG